RNAcentral lists this ribosomal RNA (497 nucleotides) under uncultured bacterium. RNAcentral describes it as "partial 16S ribosomal RNA". It matches the Rfam family "Bacterial small subunit ribosomal RNA", at positions 28 to 507 of the family's 1533-position model. The record is from RNAcentral.
GAUGAACGCUGGCGGCGUGCCUAAUACAUGCAAGUCGAGCGAACAGACGAGGAGCUUGCUCCUCUGACGUUAGCGGCGGACGGGUGAGUAACACGUGGAUAACCUACCUAUAAGACUGGGAUAACUUCGGGAAACCGGAGCUAAUACCGGAUAAUAUAUUGAACCGCAUGGUUCAAUAGUGAAAGACGGUUUUGCUGUCACUUAUAGAUGGAUCCGCGCCGCAUUAGCUAGUUGGUAAGGUAACGGCUUACUAAGGCAACGAUGCGUAGCCGACCUGAGAGGGUGAUCGGCCACACUGGAACUGAGCCACGGUCCAGAGUCCUACGGGACGCCGCAGUCGCGAAUCUUCCGCAAUAGGCGAAAGCUUGACGGAGCAGCGCCACGUGAGUGAUGAAGGUCUUCGGAUCGUAAAACUCUGUUAUUAGGGAAGAACAAAUGUGUACGUAACUAUGCACGUCUUGACGGUACCUAAUCAGAAAGCCACGGCUAACUACGUG